This is a long non-coding RNA of Microtus oregoni (creeping vole), 626 nucleotides long. RefSeq lists it as uncharacterized. Lineage: Eukaryota; Metazoa; Chordata; Mammalia; Rodentia; Cricetidae. The record is from RefSeq and is a predicted model, not a curated record. The transcript has 5 exons.
UAUAGGACGCUGACACCUGAGCCAAAUGAGACGAAAGCUAAUGUGAAAAAUCACCCUCAUUUUGUGCCUCAGUUUUGGUAAAUAAAACCCUUAAUCCUCUUCCUGCUGAAACCUUUCUAUGUCGCGCAAGAAAUAGUUGCUGAGCUUAUAAAACACAGACAUUCAAAAUGACCCGGGAUUACUGAGUUCAUCUAGAUGAAGAGAUGGAAUCAGUGCCUGGUUUUAAGGGGAAAAGUGCUCCUGAAGCCCCAGCUGUGGUUCCUGACACCCAUUUCAGACAGCUCGCCACCUGGAGCUCCAAGACCAAGAAUACCGCUUUCUUUCUAGUUUCCGUGGAAUGGCAGGCCUGACUCCCACAAUAACUACCCAUCAUUGGGAAUGAACGCCGAAACAAAACACACUGGUGUUUCAUUUCUCUAUAGUUGUAAGAUGGAACUGAAUGAAGGUGGAGAAGAGAAGCACAAAAGCAAGAAGCCUACAAUAGAAACAGUACUGGAAAAGAGGAACAGCAUCCAGUGAUCAUGGAGUUAGCUGUGUACAGCAUGAUUCCAGCAGGCCCUUUUCCUAACCUUCAUCUGGCGAUGGAUGGAGAUAGAGACAGAGACCCACACUGGAGCACCGGACUG